UUUAGAGCUAAGAUGUUGCUUGUUGGUGCAGGCCCAAUACUAAAUGCAUGCUGCCAAAAUGGAGGCGCUGAAAGCUAGGAUGCUUCUAGUUUAUGAAAAUCACAAUAUUAUUGCUUGCGAAUAUACUUAUUUACUAUGGUUAUACAUUUUCAGCAAAGCUGACUGUUUUCAUUUGUGUUAUAGAUACAAACCCAGACCUUGGCCAUCUGAUCGAGUAUAUUUUCCUUGAUCUGGAUGCACCUGCUGUGUGCGAAUACUGUGACCUUCGCUUGGUUCAAGACUACCAUCAUUCAGUUCGGUGUUGCCUGUCUCUGGCACUUGGUGAAGUGAACACAGACUGGUGUGGCGCUUGUUCCUCCAUGGUUUCUCCCUUUGUGUUUCGUCUAAUAGGUCAGAAAUUGGAACUUCUUUUAAAUCCGCUGCCCCCAUGGAACAGUUCACGUACACUGACGCCUUUAUGGCGCCAGGUCCUGCAGCGCCCAUGUAGCUCCACCGUGAAGCCCCCCUCUCAACAACAGGAGUCCUGAUGUGUAGAAGUCCACCACAUCCAUGGACAGGUGGAAGACCACAUUAUGCAUCAUCAAAAUGGUUCUUUGAAGUAAAAUAAAUAAAACAGAAGUUCACCCAAGUACACAUUGUGAAGUUCCUUUUUAUCACAGAAAGUGUCAUG
Molecule: long non-coding RNA, 670 nt
Organism: Lolium perenne
Lineage: Eukaryota; Viridiplantae; Streptophyta; Magnoliopsida; Poales; Poaceae
Source: RefSeq, a predicted model, not a curated record